This 69-nucleotide transfer RNA is filed under the name Melanophryniscus moreirae. RNAcentral describes it as "tRNA-Gly". It matches the Rfam family "tRNA". From Rfam's summary of the family: Transfer RNA (tRNA) molecules are approximately 80 nucleotides in length. Lineage: Eukaryota; Metazoa; Chordata; Amphibia; Anura; Bufonidae. The record is from RNAcentral.
AUUUUCUUAGUAUAAUUAGUACUAGUGGCUUCCAACCACUAAAUCUUGGUUAAACCCCAAGAGAAGAUA